RNAcentral lists this transfer RNA (76 nucleotides) under Klebsiella pneumoniae. RNAcentral's name for it is "tRNA-Lys". It matches the Rfam family "tRNA". From Rfam's summary of the family: Transfer RNA (tRNA) molecules are approximately 80 nucleotides in length. Their secondary structure includes four short double-helical elements and three loops (D, anti-codon, and T loops). Further hydrogen bonds mediate the characteristic L-shaped molecular structure. tRNAs have two regions of fundamental functional importance: the anti-codon, which is responsible for specific mRNA codon recognition, and the 3' end, to which the tRNAs corresponding amino acid is attached (by aminoacyl-tRNA synthetases). tRNAs cope with the degeneracy of the genetic code in two manners: having more than one tRNA (with a specific anti-codon) for a particular amino acid; and 'wobble' base-pairing, i.e. permitting non-standard base-pairing at the 3rd anti-codon position. The record is from RNAcentral. Lineage: Bacteria; Pseudomonadati; Pseudomonadota; Gammaproteobacteria; Enterobacterales; Enterobacteriaceae. RNAcentral also lists the same sequence under 2 other names.
GGGUCGUUAGCUCAGUUGGUAGAGCAGUUGACUUUUAAUCAAUUGGUCGCAGGUUCGAAUCCUGCACGACCCACGA